This 370-nucleotide ribosomal RNA is filed under the name uncultured organism. RNAcentral's name for it is "partial 16S ribosomal RNA". It matches the Rfam family "Bacterial small subunit ribosomal RNA", at positions 527 to 896 of the family's 1533-position model. The record is from RNAcentral.
GGAGGGUGCGAGCGUUAAUCGGAAUUACUGGGCGUAAAGCGCGCGUAGGCGGCUUGGUCAGUCGGAUGUGAAAGCCCCGGGCUUAACCUGGGAAUUGCAUUCGAUACUGCCGAACUAGAGUAUGGGAGAGGGAAGUGGAAUUUCCGGUGUAGCGGUGAAAUGCGUAGAUAUCGGAAGGAACACCAGUGGCGAAGGCGACUUCCUGGCCCAAUACUGACGCUGAGGUGCGAAAGCGUGGGUAGCGAACAGGGAUUAGAUACCCUGGUAGUCCACGCCGUAAACGAUGAGAACUAGAUGUCGGGAAGAUUUACUUCUCGGUGUCGCAGCUAACGCGUUAAGUUCUCCGCCUGGGGAGUACGGUGCAACACUA